This 292-nucleotide ribosomal RNA is filed under the name uncultured bacterium. Its description in RNAcentral is "partial 16S ribosomal RNA". The record is from RNAcentral.
GGACUACUGGGGUAUCUAAUCCUGUUUGCUCCCCAUGCUUUCGCGCCUCAGCGUCAGUAUCAGCCCAGUAAACCGUCUUCACCACCGGUGUUCUUCCACAUAUCUACGCAUUUCACCGCUACACGUGGAAUUCCGUUUACCCUAACUGAACUCUAGUUGAAUAGUUUCAAAUGCAGCUCCGGGGUUGAGCCCCGGAAUUUCACAUCUGACUUAUUCUACCGCCUACGCGCCCUUUACGCCCAGUAAUUCCGAUCAAUGCUUGCACCCUCCGUAUUACCGCGGCUGCUGGCAC